RNAcentral lists this ribosomal RNA (620 nucleotides) under Brevibacterium epidermidis. Its description in RNAcentral is "bacterial SSU rRNA". It matches the Rfam family "Bacterial small subunit ribosomal RNA", at positions 69 to 702 of the family's 1533-position model. RNAcentral also lists the same sequence under 1 other name. Lineage: Bacteria; Bacillati; Actinomycetota; Actinomycetes; Micrococcales; Brevibacteriaceae. The record is from RNAcentral.
AAGCCGACAGCUUGCUGUUGGUGGAUGAGUGGCGAACGGGUGAGUAACACGUGAGUAACCUGCCCCUGAUUUCGGGAUAAGCCUGGGAAACUGGGUCUAAUACCGGAUACGACCUCCUGACGCAUGUUGGGUGGUGGAAAGUUUUUCGAUCGGGGAUGGGCUCGCGGCCUAUCAGCUUGUUGGUGGGGUAAUGGCCUACCAAGGCGACGACGGGUAGCCGGCCUGAGAGGGCGACCGGCCACACUGGGACUGAGACACGGCCCAGACUCCUACGGGAGGCAGCAGUGGGGAAUAUUGCACAAUGGGGGAAACCCUGAUGCAGCGACGCAGCGUGCGGGAUGACGGCCUUCGGGUUGUAAACCGCUUUCAGCAGGGAAGAAGCGAAAGUGACGGUACCUGCAGAAGAAGUACCGGCUAACUACGUGCCAGCAGCCGCGGUAAUACGUAGGGUACGAGCGUUGUCCGGAAUUAUUGGGCGUAAAGAGCUCGUAGGUGGUUGGUCACGUCUGCUGUGGAAACGCAACGCUUAACGUUGCGCGUGCAGUGGGUACGGGCUGACUAGAGUGCAGUAGGGGAGUCUGGAAUUCCUGGUGUAGCGGUGAAAUGCGCAGAUAUCAGGA